UCUCUUCAGUCUAAUGUUAUUAAAUGGACUCCUCCAGAGUUUUUCCGCAAGUUGGUUAGGAUGGGCGCUAAGGCGUUGCCGAUCGCGGCGAAUAAGAUCGUUGGGCACAUACCACGGCGCGUCCACAAUCGUUCGUAACCCUUUUGAUUGAAAUCGUUCUAAGAUGUCCCCCACAACUGUAUACCGUACGUCCAGACUGGUUUCAGCAUCACUUUGUAUAAUAACAGUUUAUUCUGUUUGUUAAUUGUGAGUUUCUCCCGAUAAUCCAGUACAAUCUUCUUAGUUUAA
Molecule: long non-coding RNA, 288 nt
Organism: Dendroctonus ponderosae (mountain pine beetle)
Lineage: Eukaryota; Metazoa; Arthropoda; Insecta; Coleoptera; Curculionidae
Exons: 2
Source: RefSeq, a predicted model, not a curated record